AGAUGGCGACCGGCGCACGGGUGAGUAACACGUAUCCAACCUGCCGAUAACCCGGGGAUAGCCUUUCGAAAGAAAGAUUAAUACCCGAUGGUAUAAUCAGACCGCAUGGUCUUGUUAUUAAAGAAUUUCGGUUAUCGAUGGGGAUGCGUUCCAUUAGGCAGUUGGUGAGGUAACGGCUCACCAAACCUUCGAUGGAUAGGGGUUCUGAGAGGAAGGUCCCCCACAUUGGAACUGAGGCACGGUCCAA
This 247-nucleotide ribosomal RNA is filed under the name uncultured bacterium. RNAcentral describes it as "partial 16S ribosomal RNA". It matches the Rfam family "Bacterial small subunit ribosomal RNA", at positions 86 to 334 of the family's 1533-position model. The record is from RNAcentral.